CGCCGUGAUGUGGUAAUUUGCGUCCGACCCCGCUCCGGGCGACGGUUGCCUGCCGUCAGCGAGCCGGGGCGGGCGGGUGACGACGCUGUCGCUGAGCG
Molecule: non-coding RNA, 98 nt
Organism: Erinaceus europaeus (western European hedgehog)
Lineage: Eukaryota; Metazoa; Chordata; Mammalia; Eulipotyphla; Erinaceidae
Source: Rfam